AGGAUGAACGCUGGCGGUCUGCUUAACACAUGCAAGUCGAACGGGCGUAGCAAUACGUUAGUGGCGGACGGGUGAGUAACGCGUGAGAAUCUACCUUCAGGACGGAGACAACAGUUGGAAACGACUGCUAACCCCCGAUGUACUGAAAAGGCAAAUAUUUAUAGCCUGAAGAAGAGCUCGCGUCCGAUUAGCUAGUUGGAGAGGUAAAAGCUCACCAAGGCGACGAUCGGUAGCUGGUCUGAGAGGACGAUCAGCCACACUGGGACUGAGACACGGCCCAGACUCCUACGGGAGGCAGCAGUGGGGAAUUUUCCGCAAUGGGCGAAAGCCUGACGGAGCAAGACCGCGUGGGGGAAGAAGGCUCUUGGGUUGUAAACCCCUUUUCUCUGGGAAGAAAGUUGUGAAAGCAGCCUGACGGUACCAGAGGAUCAGCAUCGGCUAACUCCGUGCCAGCAGCCGC
This 460-nucleotide ribosomal RNA is filed under the name uncultured bacterium. RNAcentral describes it as "SSU rRNA". It matches the Rfam family "Bacterial small subunit ribosomal RNA", at positions 26 to 518 of the family's 1533-position model. The record is from RNAcentral.